Molecule: long non-coding RNA, 1219 nt
Organism: Homo sapiens (human)
Lineage: Eukaryota; Metazoa; Chordata; Mammalia; Primates; Hominidae
Product: long independently transcribed non-coding RNA 2148
Exons: 2
Source: RefSeq, marked validated
GAGGAGCGUCUCUGCCCGGCCGCCCAUCGUCUGAGAUGUGGGGAGCUCCUCUGCCCCGCCGCCCUGUCUGGGAUGUGAGGAGCGCCUCUGCCCGGCCGCGACCCCGUCUGGGAACUGAUGAGUGUCUCUGCCCGAUCGCCACCCCAUCUGGGAGAGGAAAGGCCAUGUAAGGACAGAGCAAACAGGCAACUGUCUGCAAACCAGGAAGAGAGGCCUCACCAGAUAUCAACCUUCAUGGCACCUUGAUCUUGAUCUUUCCAGACUGUGAGAAAAUUAACUUCUGUUGUUGUUUAAGCUGCCCUCCAACUCCGUCUGUAGUAUUUUGUUACGGCAGCCCAAACAGACUAAUACAUCAAGUAACCACACAAAUGCAUGUACAAUUAAAACUGACCUAACUGUUAAGAAGAGGAGAUAGGGCAAGAGUAUAUUUAUCGAGGGUAUUCUAUCUGGUCAGAGAUGAGAGAGAAAGAUUUUUCUGGGUAAAGUUAACAAGGUAUAUAGGGUGGGGUGAAUAUGGAGUGGGGAAUGGUCCCAGAUAGGGCCAAUUGCUUGUGCAAAGGCCCUGGGGUGAGACAGAGCACAGUUUAUUAGAGAAACCAAGUGGCAGCUGUGUGAUUGGGGUGCUAAGAGUGAAGAGGAAGGUGAUACAGGUGAGGGUGGAGAAGAGGGUGAGGCCUAACUUCCCAGGACCAUGCAGGAUUUUCACUGCUAACUUGGGCCACUUGCACACCAGACUGGAGCUGGAAAUGGUGGGUAUGGGAGACAGAGAUCAAAAUAACCUCUAGAUGUCCACUUGCAUAGCUGGUAGGUCACGGGACCAUUCAUGAUAGGGAAGCCCAGGAGAGAACCAGAUUUCAAAGAGAAAGUCAUGAAUUUGCACGUGUCAAGCUUGUUGUGCUUUUGAGUCACUUAGAAAGAGACAUUUGUUUGCGGACCUAUCUACAAGUCUAGACUCAGACAGAGACCUGAGUCAUGUCAUUACACUGACAAGGUGGGAGAGGUGAUUCGGGACAGUCAUUCUCAGACUUUGAGUUUCAAGACCCCUUUACACUCUUAAAAACCAUCAAGGACCUCAAAGAGCUUCUGUUUAUGUGGGUUAUAUCUGUCCAUAUUUACUGUAUUAGAAAUGUAAACUGAAAUAUUAAUAUUAAUUUAUAAUAAACCUGUUUUACCUUAACAUAAAAAAAAGAAAUAAAACAUGCAAAAAUAUUUUACUACA